Molecule: ribosomal RNA, 432 nt
Filed under: uncultured bacterium
Lineage: Bacteria
Description: partial 16S ribosomal RNA
Rfam family: Bacterial small subunit ribosomal RNA
Source: RNAcentral
AGCGAACGCUGGCGGCAGGCCUAACACAUGCAAGUCGAACGAACUCUUCGGAGUUAGUGGCGGACGGGUGAGUAACACGUGGGAACGUGCCUUUUGGUUCGGAAUAACUCAGGGAAACUUGUGCUAAUACCGAAUGUGCCCUUCGGGGGAAAGAUUUAUCGCCAUUAGAGCGGCCCGCGUCUGAUUAGCUAGUUGGUGAGGUAACGGCUCACCAAGGCGACGAUCAGUAGCUGGUCUGAGAGCAUGACCAGCCACACUGGGACUGAGACACGGCCCAGGCUCCUACGGGAGGCAGCAGUGGGGAAUCUUGCGCAAUGGGCGAAAGCCUGACGCAGCCAUGCCGCGUGAAUGAUGAAGGUCUUAGGAUUGUAAAAUUCUUUCACCGGGGACGAUAAUGACGGAACCCGGAGAAGAAGCCCCGGCUAACUUCGU